This is a long non-coding RNA of Schistocerca americana (American grasshopper), 493 nucleotides long. RefSeq lists it as uncharacterized. The transcript is spliced from 3 exons. Lineage: Eukaryota; Metazoa; Arthropoda; Insecta; Orthoptera; Acrididae. The record is from RefSeq and is a predicted model, not a curated record.
CGAUUUUCUUGUUUUCAUUACUUGCGCGGGGAAUAUAGUAUAAACUGUCAACAUUUGUAGCCGGAGAAGCAAAUAUGGACUCAUGGCUGGCAGAGGAGGAUGAGAAGAAAAGCCUCAGCUCACAAUUUGCAGCAUUGUCACAAGAACUGCUGGUGGUCCCCUGAUUUUGAGUAAAGAAACAGUUGAUUUUGGGGAACUGAUGUACACCCACCAUUCAAGAUCAAUUGCAUCCUCAACGGGGAUGCUGGACUGUGACUUGGGUCUGCCAAGUAUGCUGUGUAACAUCCCAAGUUUUGCAAUGCAGCAGGCACACGUUGUCACCUCAGUGUGUUCACAAGGGCAGCAGCAGCUGCCAAACAGCGAAUGCAAACCAGCCAACUGUUAUAGAAAAUUCUAAUGUAAAAGAGUGUGUGUCAAGAUGAAACCAAAGGAACUUGAUGAGCUAGUGUCAUACAAUUGUAUUCUUUCCUGGAGUUAAAUUGUUGUUCUUGAA